UACGGAGGGUGCGAGCGUUAAUCGGAAUCACUGGGCGUAAAGCGCGCGUAGGCGGCCUUAUAAGUCAGGUGUGAAAGCCCUCGGCUCAACCGGGGAAUUGCACUUGAUACUGUAAAGCUUGAGUAUCGGAGAGGAUGGCGGAAUUCCAGGUGUAGGAGUGAAAUCCGUAGAUAUCUGGAGGAACACCAGUGGCGAAGGCGGCCAUCUGGACGAUAACUGACGCUGAGGUGCGAAAGCGUGGGGAGCAAACAGG
This 253-nucleotide ribosomal RNA is filed under the name uncultured bacterium. Its description in RNAcentral is "partial 16S ribosomal RNA". It matches the Rfam family "Bacterial small subunit ribosomal RNA", at positions 524 to 776 of the family's 1533-position model. The record is from RNAcentral.